GGGUUGUGAGGUUAAGCGACUAAGCGUACACGGUGGAUGCCCUGGCAGUCAGAGGCGAUGAAGGACGUGCUAAUCUGCGAUAAGCGUCGGUAAGGUGAUAUGAACCGUUAUAACCGGCGAUUUCCGAAUGGGGAAACCCAGUGUGAUUCGUCACACUAUCAUUAACUGAAUCCAUAGGUUAAUGAGGCGAACCGGGGGAACUGAAACAUCUAAGUACCCCGAGGAAAAGAAAUCAACCGAGAUUCCCCCAGUAGCGGCGAGCGAACGGGGAGCAGCCCAGAGCCUGAAUCAGUGUGUGUGUUAGUGGAAGCGUCUGGAAAGGCGCGCGAUACAGGGUGACAGCCCCGUACACAAAAAUGCACAUGCUGUGAGCUCGAUGAGUAGGGCGGGACACGUGGUAUCCUGUCUGAAUAUGGGGGGACCAUCCUCCAAGGCUAAAUACUCCUGACUGACCGAUAGUGAACCAGUACCGUGAGGGAAAGGCGAAAAGAACCCCGGCGAGGGGAGUGAAAAAGAACCUGAAACCGUGUACGUACAAGCAGUGGGAGCACGCUUAGGCGUGUGACUGCGUACCUUUUGUAUAAUGGGUCAGCGACUUAUAUUCUGUAGCAAGGUUAACCGAAUAGGGGAGCCGAAGGGAAACCGAGUCUUAACUGGGCGUUAAGUUGCAGGGUAUAGACCCGAAACCCGGUGAUCUAGCCAUGGGCAGGUUGAAGGUUGGGUAACACUAACUGGAGGACCGAACCGACUAAUGUUGAAAAAUUAGCGGAUGACUUGUGGCUGGGGGUGAAAGGCCAAUCAAACCGGGAGAUAGCUGGUUCUCCCCGAAAGCUAUUUAGGUAGCGCCUCGUGAAUUCAUCUCCGGGGGUAGAGCACUGUUUCGGCAAGGGGGUCAUCCCGACUUACCAACCCGAUGCAAACUGCGAAUACCGGAGAAUGUUAUCACGGGAGACACACGGCGGGUGCUAACGUCCGUCGUGAAGAGGGAAACAACCCAGACCGCCAGCUAAGGUCCCAAAGUCAUGGUUAAGUGGGAAACGAUGUGGGAAGGCCCAGACAGCCAGGAUGUUGGCUUAGAAGCAGCCAUCAUUUAAAGAAAGCGUAAUAGCUCACUGGUCGAGUCGGCCUGCGCGGAAGAUGUAACGGGGCUAAACCAUGCACCGAAGCUGCGGCAGCGACGCUGAUGCGUUGUUGGGUAGGGGAGCGUUCUGUAAGCCUGCGAAGGUGUGCUGUGAGGCAUGCUGGAGGUAUCAGAAGUGCGAAUGCUGACAUAAGUAACGAUAAAGCGGGUGAAAAGCCCGCUCGCCGGAAGACCAAGGGUUCCUGUCCAACGUUAAUCGGGGCAGGGUGAGUCGACCCCUAAGGCGAGGCCGAAAGGCGUAGUCGAUGGGAAACAGGUUAAUAUUCCUGUACUUGGUGUUACUGCGAAGGGGGGACGGAGAAGGCUAUGUUGGCCGGGCGACGGUUGUCCCGGUUUAAGCGUGUAGGCUGGUUUUCCAGGCAAAUCCGGAAAAUCAAGGCUGAGGCGUGAUGACGAGGCACUACGGUGCUGAAGCAACAAAUGCCCUGCUUCCAGGAAAAGCCUCUAAGCAUCAGGUAACAUCAAAUCGUACCCCAAACCGACACAGGUGGUCAGGUAGAGAAUACCAAGGCGCUUGAGAGAACUCGGGUGAAGGAACUAGGCAAAAUGGUGCCGUAACUUCGGGAGAAGGCACGCUGAUAUGUAGGUGAAGUCCCUCGCGGAUGGAGCUGAAAUCAGUCGAAGAUACCAGCUGGCUGCAACUGUUUAUUAAAAACACAGCACUGUGCAAACACGAAAGUGGACGUAUACGGUGUGACGCCUGCCCGGUGCCGGAAGGUUAAUUGAUGGGGUUAGCGCAAGCGAAGCUCUUGAUCGAAGCCCCGGUAAACGGCGGCCGUAACUAUAACGGUCCUAAGGUAGCGAAAUUCCUUGUCGGGUAAGUUCCGACCUGCACGAAUGGCGUAAUGAUGGCCAGGCUGUCUCCACCCGAGACUCAGUGAAAUUGAACUCGCUGUGAAGAUGCAGUGUACCCGCGGCAAGACGGAAAGACCCCGUGAACCUUUACUAUAGCUUGACACUGAACAUUGAGCCUUGAUGUGUAGGAUAGGUGGGAGGCUUUGAAGUGUGGACGCCAGUCUGCAUGGAGCCGACCUUGAAAUACCACCCUUUAAUGUUUGAUGUUCUAACGUUGACCCGUAAUCCGGGUUGCGGACAGUGUCUGGUGGGUAGUUUGACUGGGGCGGUCUCCUCCUAAAGAGUAACGGAGGAGCACGAAGGUUGGCUAAUCCUGGUCGGACAUCAGGAGGUUAGUGCAAUGGCAUAAGCCAGCUUGACUGCGAGCGUGACGGCGCGAGCAGGUGCGAAAGCAGGUCAUAGUGAUCCGGUGGUUCUGAAUGGAAGGGCCAUCGCUCAACGGAUAAAAGGUACUCCGGGGAUAACAGGCUGAUACCGCCCAAGAGUUCAUAUCGACGGCGGUGUUUGGCACCUCGAUGUCGGCUCAUCACAUCCUGGGGCUGAAGUAGGUCCCAAGGGUAUGGCUGUUCGCCAUUUAAAGUGGUACGCGAGCUGGGUUUAGAACGUCGUGAGACAGUUCGGUCCCUAUCUGCCGUGGGCGCUGGAGAACUGAGGGGGGCUGCUCCUAGUACGAGAGGACCGGAGUGGACGCAUCACUGGUGUUCGGGUUGUCAUGCCAAUGGCACUGCCCGGUAGCUAAAUGCGGAAGAGAUAAGUGCUGAAAGCAUCUAAGCACGAAACUUGCCCCGAGAUGAGUUCUCCCUGACUCCUUGAGAGUCCUGAAGGAACGUUGAAGACGACGACGUUGAUAGGCCGGGUGUGUAAGCGCAGCGAUGCGUUGAGCUAACCGGUACUAAUGAACCGUGAGGCUUAACCUUACAACGCCGAAGGUGUUU
Molecule: ribosomal RNA, 2931 nt
Filed under: Escherichia coli
Lineage: Bacteria; Pseudomonadati; Pseudomonadota; Gammaproteobacteria; Enterobacterales; Enterobacteriaceae
Also listed under: 1 other name
Description: 23S ribosomal RNA
Rfam family: Bacterial large subunit ribosomal RNA
Source: RNAcentral